GAUGAACGCUGGCGGCGUGCCUAAUACAUGCAAGUCGAGCGAACGGACGAGAAGCUUGCUUUUCUGAUGUUAGCGGCGGACGGGUGAGUAACACGUGGAUAACCUACCUAUAAGACUGGGAUAACUUCGGGAAACCGGAGCUAAUACCGGAUAAUAUUUUGAACCGCAUGGUUCAAAAGUGAAAGACGGUCUUGCUGUCACUUAUAGAUGGAUCCGCGCUGCAUUAGCUAGUUGGUAAGGUAACGGCUUACCAAGGCAACGAUGCAUAGCCGACCUGAGAGGGUGAUCGCCCACACUGGAACUGAGACACGGUCAAGACUCCUACGGGAGGCAGCAGUAGGGAAUCUUCCGCAAUGGGCGAAAGCCUGACGGAGCAACGCCGCGUGAGUGAUGACGGUCUUCGGAUCGUAAAACUCUGUUAUUAGGGAAGAACAUAUGUGUACGUAACUGUGCACAUCUUGACGGUACCUAAUCAGAAAGCCACGGCUAACUACGUG
RNAcentral lists this ribosomal RNA (497 nucleotides) under uncultured bacterium. Its description in RNAcentral is "partial 16S ribosomal RNA". It matches the Rfam family "Bacterial small subunit ribosomal RNA", at positions 28 to 507 of the family's 1533-position model. The record is from RNAcentral.